This 515-nucleotide ribosomal RNA is filed under the name uncultured bacterium. RNAcentral describes it as "partial 16S ribosomal RNA". It matches the Rfam family "Bacterial small subunit ribosomal RNA", at positions 28 to 523 of the family's 1533-position model. The record is from RNAcentral.
GAUGAACGCUGGCGGCGUGCCUAAUACAUGCAAGUCGAGCGAAUGGAUUAAGAGCUUGCUCUUAUGAAGUUAGCGGCGGACGGGUGAGUAACACGUGGGUAACCUGCCCAUAAGACUGGGAUAACUCCGGGAAACCGGGGCCAAUACCGGAUAACAUUUUGAACCGCAUGGUUCGAAAUUGAAAGGCGGCUUCGGCUGUCACUUGUGGAUGGACCCGCGUCGCAUUCGCUAGUUGGUGAAGUAACGGCUCGCCAAGGCAACGAUGCGUAGCCGGCCUGGGAGGGUGAUCGGCCACACUGGGACUGAGACACGGCCCAGACUCCUACGGGAGGCAGCAGUAGGGAAUCUUCCGCAAUGGACGAAAGUCUGACGGAGCAACGCCGCGUGAGUGAUGAAGGCUUUCGGGUCGUAAAACUCUGUUGUUAGGGAAGAGCAAGUGCUAGUUGAAUAAGCUGGCACCUUGACGGUACCUAACCAGAAAGCCACGGCUAACUACGUGCCAGCCGCCGCAGUAA